AUUGAACGCUGGCGGCAGGCUUAACACAUGCAAGUCGAGCGGGGUGAUGGUGCUUGCACUAUCACUUAGCGGCGGACGGGUGAGUAAUGCUUAGGAAUCUGCCUAUUAGUGGGGGACAACAUCUCGAAAGGGAUGCUAAUACCGCAUACGUCCUACGGGAGAAAGCAGGGGAUCACUUGUGACCUUGCGAUAAUAGAUGAGCCUAAGUCGGAUUAGCGAGUUGGUGGGGUAAAGGCCUACCAAGGCGACGAUCUGUAGCGGGUCUGAGAGGAUGAUCCGCCACACUGGGACUGAGACACGGCCCAGACUCCUACGGGAGGCAGCAGUGGGGAAUAUUGGACAAUGGGGGGAACCCUGAUCCAGCCAUGCCGCGUGUGUGAAGAAGGCCUUAUGGUUGUAAAGCACUUUAAGCGAGGAGGAGGCUCUUUUGGUUAAUACCCAAGAUGAGUGGACGUUACUCGCAGAAUAAGCACCGGCUAACUCUGUGCCAGCCGCCGCAGUAA
This 503-nucleotide ribosomal RNA is filed under the name uncultured bacterium. Its description in RNAcentral is "partial 16S ribosomal RNA". It matches the Rfam family "Bacterial small subunit ribosomal RNA", at positions 30 to 523 of the family's 1533-position model. The record is from RNAcentral.